CAGGGCUGAGGAGAUACCUGUUCUCCCAGUUUCACGGCCAGUACAAGGCCAUUCUUACACUGCUCGGGGGAGCCCCUCAGGAGAAGACACAUUUAAGAGUUUCCAGCAAGAAGAGUCAGGUCAUGCAGUCAGCUGCUUUCUCAGCCCAGCUGUGGGAAUGUAAACAAGUUUCUAACCUCAUUGAAUCUUAGGUUCCCUGUUUGGAAACAGAUGAGAUCCACAACAGCCAUUAUCUUAUUGGAUGGUUGUUGUAUGGCAGGGGCUGUACUGAAGAGUCACACACAUUACUUAGUCUUCCCAACAAUCCUGCAAGAUAUAGAACCUUGACAUGUUUCUCAGGCUGGUCUGAAACUCCUGGGGCUCAAGCGAUCCACCUGCCUCCACCUCUCAAAGUGCUGAGAUUACAGAAAAUGAAAGGAAUUGAAAUUAAGACAAGGGAGAGAUUGAAGAGUGGAAAGGAGAAAGUGGUUGAGGAACAGUGAGAGAAGUUGGAGAAGAAAGUAAGAAGAGGCCGCUUACCUGAUUUAAAAUUGAUGGCAAACCAGGAAAACAGAGCUCAGUACAGAAGGGAGUUGGGCAGCCUCUGUUCCUGUUUGGCUCUGUCCUUGAAGAAAGUGAUAAGAAGUGCACAGAUUUUGGAAUUAAACAGACCAUGGUUUGAAGUCUGGAUCUUCCAGUUGUAACCAGGUGGCAUUGGGGCCUAUGGUUCAUCCUGCAAUAUCAGAGAAUACACAACUGUUGGAAGCUCAUUUGUGCAGAAGCACUAGUUAGACCAAGUCCCAGGAUGGUGGGGACUUGAACUGCCUCAUGCACAUUGUACCCAAGAGCCUGGCCCAUGAAGGUGAAUCAGUGGAUACUUGAAUAAAAAGAAGAAUAUGCGCUGAAGUUUUCUUUGAGGACAUUUUUUUUUCUUUCCAUAGUUUUGAGCAUCUCUGAUGUUUUGAGAUUUCU
This 951-nucleotide long non-coding RNA is filed under the name Homo sapiens (human). Its description in RNAcentral is "HSALNT0389372". The record is from RNAcentral. Lineage: Eukaryota; Metazoa; Chordata; Mammalia; Primates; Hominidae.